CCCCGCUGGCAAUGGGCAAAGAGACACUUCAUUGGUGGUGGUGUUCUUAGAUCAGUCAGGGACAGAGCAGGUGACAGUUCUUGUUCAUCCUAGCUUAAUGCCUGGCUUGGUAGCCAAAGCUAUCCUAUGCCUAGGACUCCUAA
Small nucleolar RNA from Mus pahari (shrew mouse), 143 nucleotides. RefSeq annotates it as small nucleolar RNA SNORA48. The record is from RefSeq and is a predicted model, not a curated record. The transcript has a single exon. NCBI's taxonomy places the organism in Eukaryota, Metazoa, Chordata, Mammalia, Rodentia, Muridae.